Molecule: ribosomal RNA, 388 nt
Filed under: uncultured eukaryote
Lineage: Eukaryota
Description: partial 18S ribosomal RNA
Rfam family: Eukaryotic small subunit ribosomal RNA
Source: RNAcentral
CAAUAGCGUAUAUUAAAGUUGUUGCAGUUAAAAAGCUCGUAGUUGGAUUUCUGAUCGAGACAUCAGGUCGGGUCCGAGAGGAUCAUGUACUUUGAUUUUGUUUUGAUCAUCCUUGGGGAGAGCAUUUCUGGCAUUCAGUUGUCGGGAUUGGGAUCCUCAUCGUUUACUGUGAAAAAAUUAGAGUGUUCAAAGCAGGCCUCGGCCUCUGAAUACAUUAGCAUGGAAUAAUAAGAUAGGACUUUGGUGGUCUAUUUUGUUGGUUUGCACGCCAAAGUAAUGAUUAAUAGGGAUAGUUGGGGGUAUUCGUAUUCAAUUGUCAGAGGUGAAAUUCUUGGAUUUAUGGAAGACGAACUACUGCGAAAGCAUUUGCCAAGAGUGUUUUCAUUAA